Molecule: unclassified non-coding RNA, 333 nt
Filed under: soil metagenome
Description: partial contains 5.8S ribosomal RNA, internal transcribed spacer 2, and large subunit ribosomal RNA
Rfam family: 5.8S ribosomal RNA (bases 1-120)
Source: RNAcentral
GAUGAAGAACGUAGCGAAAUGCGAUAAGUAGUGUGAAUUGCAGAAUUCAGUGAAUCAUCGAAUCUUUGAACGCACAUUGCGCCCCUCGUUAUUCCGUGGGGCAUGCCUGUUCGAGCGUCAUUUACCCCUCAAGCACUGCUUGGUGUUGGGCGUCUGUCCCGCUUCGCGCGCGGACUCGCCCCAAAGGUAUUGGCAGCGGUCGUGCCAGCUUCUCGCGCAGCACAUUGCGCUUCUCGAGGCGGUCGAUCGGCGUCCACGAAGCUCACCUCCACCGUUUGACCUCGGAUCAGGUAGGGAUACCCGCUGAACUUAAGCAUAUCAAUAAGCUGAGGA